This 274-nucleotide ribosomal RNA is filed under the name uncultured bacterium. RNAcentral describes it as "partial 16S ribosomal RNA". It matches the Rfam family "Bacterial small subunit ribosomal RNA", at positions 523 to 796 of the family's 1533-position model. The record is from RNAcentral.
AUAUGGAGGGUGCAAGCGUUACUCGGAAUCACUGGGCGUAAAGGGUGCGUAGGCGGUUUGAUAAGUCUGAUGUGAAAUCCUAUGGCUCAACCAUAGAACUGCAUUGGAAACUGUCAGACUAGAAUACUGAAGGGGCAGAUGGAAUUAGUGGUGUAGGGGUAAAAUCCGUAGAUAUCACUAGGAAUACCGAAAGCGAAAGCGAUCUGCUGGGAAGUUAUUGACGCUGAGGCACGAAAGCGUGGGGAGCAAACGGGAUUAGAAACCCCAGUAGUCC